This 484-nucleotide ribosomal RNA is filed under the name uncultured bacterium. RNAcentral describes it as "partial 16S ribosomal RNA". It matches the Rfam family "Bacterial small subunit ribosomal RNA", at positions 30 to 507 of the family's 1533-position model. The record is from RNAcentral.
AUUGAACGCUGGCGGCAGGCCUAACACAUGCCAGUCGAGCGGAUGAAGGGAGCUUGCUCCUGGAUUCAGCGGCGGACGGGUGAGUAAUGCCUAGGAAUCUGCCUGGUAGUGGGGGAUAACGUCCGGAAACGGGCGCUAAUACCGCAUACGUCCUGAGGGAGAAAGUGGGGGAUCUUCGGACCUCACGCUAUCAGAUGAGCCUAGGUUGGAUUAGCUAGUUGGUGGGGUAAAGGCCUACCAAGGCGACGAUCCGUAACUGGUCUGAGGGGAUGAUCAGUCACACUGGAACUGAGACACGGUCCAGACUCCUACGGGAGGCAGCAGGGGGGAAUAUUGGACAAUGGGCGAAAGCCUGAUCCAGCCAUGCCGCGUGUGUGAAGAAGGUCUUCGGAUUGUAAAGCACUUUAAGUUGGGAGGAAGGGCAGUAAGUUAAUACCUUGCUGUUUUGACGUUACCAACAGAAUAAGCACCGGCUAACUUCGUG